CAGUAGCCACGGGAAUACGAAGGGGGCUAGCGUUGUUCGGAAUUACUGGGCGUAAAGCGCACGUAGGCGGAUCGAUCAGUCAGGGGUGAAAUCCCAGGGCUCAACCCUGGAACUGCCUUUGAUACUGUCGAUCUGGAGUAUGGAAGAGGUGAGUGGAAUUCCGAGUGUAGAGGUGAAAUUCGUAGAUAUUCGGAGGAACACCAGUGGCGAAGGCGGCUCACUGGUCCGGUACUGACGCUGAGGUGCGAAAGCGUGGGGAGCAAACAGGAUUAGAUACCCGUGUAGUCCCUGUCUCUUAUAC
RNAcentral lists this ribosomal RNA (301 nucleotides) under uncultured bacterium. RNAcentral describes it as "partial 16S ribosomal RNA". It matches the Rfam family "Bacterial small subunit ribosomal RNA", at positions 509 to 807 of the family's 1533-position model. The record is from RNAcentral.